This 480-nucleotide ribosomal RNA is filed under the name uncultured bacterium. Its description in RNAcentral is "partial 16S ribosomal RNA". It matches the Rfam family "Bacterial small subunit ribosomal RNA", at positions 28 to 507 of the family's 1533-position model. The record is from RNAcentral.
GACGAACGCUGGCGGCGUGCUUAACACAUGCCAGUCGAACGAUGAAGAAAAGAAUUGAAGCUUCGGCAGAAAUUCAUUUCGGAUUAGUGGCAGACGGGUGAGUAACGCGUGAGCAACCUACCUCUUACAAAGGGAUAGCCUCGGGAAACCGGGAUUAAUACCAUAUAACAUUGCGACGAAGCAUUUCGAUGCAAUCAAAGCUACGGCGGUAAGAGAUGGGCUCGUGUCCCAUUAACCAGAUGGUGAGGUAACGGCUCACCAUAGUAACGAUGGGUAACCGGCCUGAGAGGGUGAACGGUCACACUGGAACUGAGACACGGUCCAGACUCCUACGGGAGGCAGCAGUGGGGAAUAUUGCACAAUGGAGGGAACUCUGAUGCAGCGACGCCGCGUGAGUGAUGAAGGAAUUCGUUUCGUAAAACUCUGUUCUAUGGGAAGAAAAGGACUGUACCAUAGGAGAAAGCUCCGGCUAAAUACGUG